RNAcentral lists this ribosomal RNA (473 nucleotides) under uncultured bacterium. RNAcentral describes it as "bacterial SSU rRNA". It matches the Rfam family "Bacterial small subunit ribosomal RNA", at positions 355 to 825 of the family's 1533-position model. The record is from RNAcentral.
UGGGGAAUUUUGGGCAAUGGGCGAAAGCCUGACCCAGCAACGCCGCGUGUGGGAUGAAGGCCCUCGGGUCGUAAACCACUGUCAGGAGGAAAGAAAAGUCGGCCGGAUAAUACUCGGUCGACCUGACGGUACCUCCAAAGGAAGCACCGGCUAACUCCGUGCCAGCAGCCGCGGUAAUACGGAGGGUGCAAGCGUUGUUCGGAAUUACUGGGCGUAAAGCGCGUGUAGGUGGUCGAGUAAGUCGAAUGUGAAAGCCCCGGGCUCAACCCGGGAAGUGCAUCCGAAACUGCUCGACUAGAGUCCCGGAGAGGAAGGCAGAAUUCCCAAUGUAGGGGUGAAAUCCGUAGAUAUUGGGAGGAAUACCGGUGGCGAAGGCGGCCUUCUGGACGGUGACUGACACUCAGACGCGAAAGCGUGGGGAGCAAACAGGAUUAGAUACCCACGUAGUCCCUGAGCGGGCUGGCAAGGCGCAU